GGAGAGGUGUCCGAGUGGCUUAAGGAGCACGCUUGGAAAGCGUGUGUGCGGCUAAUGCCGUACCGUGGGUUCGAAUCCCACCCUCUCCGCCA
Molecule: transfer RNA, 92 nt
Filed under: Candidatus Aminicenantota bacterium
Lineage: Bacteria; Candidatus Aminicenantota
Also listed under: 1 other name
Description: tRNA-Ser
Rfam family: tRNA
About the family: Transfer RNA (tRNA) molecules are approximately 80 nucleotides in length.
Source: RNAcentral